GCUUCAUCAUAGUACCGCUUCGCAAGAUGGAGAUCCAAUGGUAAACCCAAGCCUCGUUCGUGCAUGUAGCCCAGAUUGAACAUUGCUUGUGAACUAUGCUUCUCCUUUGCUCUAAUGUAAGCCUCUCCUGCUCUCUCCAGAUCUUUCGCUGCUCCCUAAAAACAAAAAACAGAGAUGCAAAAAUAAGUCCCACCGAAUCACAGCAGAAGUGCCGUUGACCGGUCCAAAAACCAUCAGAUCACAUGCGUAAGUUCUAAAGUUUUGAAUUCGUUCUAUAGCUCGGUUUAUCCAAUUGCAAUAACUUAAAAACAACGGUCAGGUAAAGGUGCAUUCUCUCAAGCAUGCAACCUUGUUCCUUGCACAACUUAUAUAAGAACAGCUGCUCAAAUUAAAUUCGAAUCGAAGAUCAAGACAUUGAUAGACAUGCAUAUUUGGGAGAAAUUCAGCUGAAAACAUACUCGGCCAUAAUAGUAAGCGUCUCCUAAUAGCAACGACGCAUGCUCGUUGCCCUGCUCGGAAGAAUGUCGCCACAGAUUGUGAGCUCGCUCGUGACGUUCUUCUGUUGUGCAAAUGCCAGAACUUCCAAUACAGAUCCUACCCCGGUACUUCUCAAGCAGCCAAGCUGCAUUGCUUUGACCCACUUCAUAGCCAAGCUCUGCAGUACGAGAGUAAAGUAACAGUGCUUUGCCAACAUUGCCUUUAAUG
This 705-nucleotide long non-coding RNA is filed under the name Physcomitrium patens. Its description in RNAcentral is "long non-coding RNA (PPAT_LNC012723)". The record is from RNAcentral. Lineage: Eukaryota; Viridiplantae; Streptophyta; Bryopsida; Funariales; Funariaceae.